CCUACGGGAGGCAGCAGUAGGGAAUAUUGCUCAAUGGGGGAAACCCUGAAGCAGCAACGCCGCGUGGAGGAUGAAGGUUUUCGGAGGGUAAACGCCUGUUGGUAGAGAAGAGAAGGACGGUACCCCAAUAGCAAGCCACGGCUAACGACGUGCCAGCAGCCGCGGUAAUACGGAGGUGGCAAGCGUUAUCCGGAAUGACUGGGCGUAAAGGGUGCGGAGGGGGUUUAGGACGUGGGCGGUGGAAUUCCGGGGCUCAACCUCGGCGCGACCGCCCAAACUCUUAGACUAGAGUGCAGGAGGGGUAAUUGGAAUUCCUCGUGUAGCGGUGUAAUGCGUAGAUAUUAGGCGGCACCCCAGUGGCGAAGGCGGCUUACUGGACUGUAACUGCCGUUGCGGCUCGAAAGCGUGGGGAGCACACAGGAUUAGAUACCCCAGUAGUC
Molecule: ribosomal RNA, 440 nt
Filed under: uncultured bacterium
Lineage: Bacteria
Description: partial 16S ribosomal RNA
Rfam family: Bacterial small subunit ribosomal RNA
Source: RNAcentral